Molecule: ribosomal RNA, 877 nt
Filed under: uncultured bacterium
Lineage: Bacteria
Description: bacterial SSU rRNA
Rfam family: Bacterial small subunit ribosomal RNA
Source: RNAcentral
CACAUGCAAGUCGAGCGGCAGCGGGAAAGUAGCUUGCUACUUUUGCCGGCGAGCGGCGGACGGGUGAGUAAUGCCUGGGAAAUUGCCCAGUCGAGGGGGAUAACAGUUGGAAACGACUGCUAAUACCGCAUACGCCCUACGGGGGAAAGCAGGGGACCUUCGGGCCUUGCGCGAUUGGAUAUGCCCAGGUGGGAUUAGCUUGUUGGUGAGGUAAUGGCUCACCAAGGCGACGAUCCGUAACUGGUCUGAGAGGAUGAUCAGUCACACUGGAACUGAGACACGGUCCAGACUCCUACGGGAGGCAGCAGUGGGGAGUAUUGGACAAUGGGCGAAAGCCUGAUCCAGCCAUGCCGCGUGUGUGAAGAAGGUCUUCGGAUUGUAAAGCACUUUAAGUUGGGAGGAAGGGCAGUAAGUUAAUACCUUGCUGUUUUGACGUUACCGACAGAAUAAGCACCGGCUAACUCUGUGCCAGCAGCCGCGGUAAUACAGAGGGUGCAAGCGUUAAUCGGAAUUACUGGGCGUAAAGCGCGCGUAGGUGGUUCGUUAAGUUGGAUGUGAAAGCCCCGGGCUCAACCUGGGAACUGCAUCCAAAACUGGCGAGCUAGAGUACGGUAGAGGGUGGUGGAAUUUCCUGUGCAGCGGUGAAAUGCGUAGAUAUAGGAAGGAACACCAGUGGCGAAGGCGACCACCUGGACUGAUACUGACACUGAGGUGCGAAAGCGUGGGGAGCAAACAGGAUUAGAUACCCUGGUAGUCCACGCCGUAAACGAUGUCAACUAGCCGUUGGAAUCCUUGAGAUUUUAGUGGCGCAGCUAACGCAUUAAGUUGACCGCCUGGGGAGUACGGCCGCAAGGUUAAAACUCAAAUGAAUUGACGG